Long non-coding RNA from Bombus huntii, 1269 nucleotides. RefSeq lists it as uncharacterized. The transcript has 2 exons. NCBI's taxonomy places the organism in Eukaryota, Metazoa, Arthropoda, Insecta, Hymenoptera, Apidae. The record is from RefSeq and is a predicted model, not a curated record.
GCUAAAACGUUGUUAUUCACUAAAAUAAACAAUCUUGACUAUGCAGAAUGACGAUUCGACUAAAUUUAUUUCAUAUUAUUAUUUAUAACGAUUACUAUACACGCGGAAGUCGUUAAUAAUCAAAUAGAAAUAAAAAUAUACAUAAGAAAUAAUGUAAGAUUAAUUCGUCUCUUCCGAUUGGUGACCACGUUUCAUUGUAAAUACAUCCUUUACGAAUGGUCAAAGCUUUUGUCUAUUUCGGCAUAAUGAACGUAAGGGUCGAAUGGGGUGCAAAAGGGUUCGACGAAAAGUGUAACGUGGUUGGAGGAUAGCCAGUGGAUGGAGGAUGCAAUUCCUCGGUCGAUAUUCUGGCACGACAGGGGAUGCCGGUUAGGGCCAGACUUGGCUCCCUCUAGGGCGUUGUUGUAAACGUCUCUUGUGUGUGGCACAAGGUCAAACGGAAGAUGAUUCACCGAUGAGGAGCGACAUGGUCGAUUGUUUAACUGUUGAGUAUACUAAUCGUUUACAUGUACAACUUUAUAUUAUUUAAUGAUUUAACUGUACUAAAAGGACAGUAAAUAUUCAAUCCUUACUACAAAAAAGGCGUUUUCUUCACGAGGAUCUCAAAUGCAUGAUGAAAAGUGCAAUGAAAUAAAUUAAUUAAAGAAGAUUAAUAGCUACAUUUUAAAUGGUAAUACGAAAGAGAAAAGGUUAGACGAUUAUGAAUAAGGAAUACCGAGUAAAAUUAAUCAUCGCAUUGCUAAGGAUAAUCAGCUUAUUCAUCACGUUUAUGAAGGCGUCAGUGAACUUUGAGAGUCACUGGCCUGCAAGAACCGACCUCCUUACGGGCUCAUUGAAUUUUUCCCUCUCUACCAGAACUCUUGUAGUUCACUGUCAUCCUCGAAGCAAAAGAGUGGGAGAGGGUUAGUUUCGCAAGGAAACUCAGCUCUUCAUUACCAAGGAUACAGCGUCUAUCGGUAGCUAGCAUAAAUAUUUAAAAUGUAUUCGGAGAACGGUAGUUACUACUUGUGCCAGUUUCACAUGGUUAAUUUUCUGUCGCCAAUUUGCCGGAAACGGAACGCGACUACUUAAUGAAUUCUUCCGGAACUUCGAUAGAUGCAUCGCACACAUGACUAAUCGUUCUAUGAACAUGAAUCUUUAAUUGCUAAAGAAAGCUUAAAGAUAUUUGAAAAAAAAACACUGACAGUUUUAUUAACUGCGACUUUCACAACAGCUUUCAUAUAUGGAAUAUAAUUACAAUUAAUAAAUAAUACUUUAUUUGAACGAAAA